GGUUACUGCUAUCGGUGUUCGCUUAAGCCAUGCGAGUCAUAUGUUCUUCGGAACAUGGCGUACUGCUCAGUAACACGUGGAUAACCUGCCCUUGGGUCCGGCAUAACCCCGGGAAACUGGGGAUAAUUCCCGAUAACGCACAUAUGCUGGAAUGCUUUAUGCGUCAAAUGGAUUCGUCCGCCCAAGGAUGGGUCUGCGGCCUAUCAGGUAGUAGUGGGUGUAAUGUACCUACUAGCCUACGACGGGUACGGGUUGUGAGAGCAAGAGCCCGGAGAUGGAUUCUGAGACAUGAAUCCAGGCCCUACGGGGCGCAGCAGGCGCGAAAACUUUACAAUGCGGGAAACCGUGAUAAGGGGACACCGAGUGCCAGCAUCAUAUGCUGGCUGUCCGGGUGUGUAAAAUACACCUGUUAGCAAGGGCCGGGCAAGACCGGUGCCAGCCGCCGCGGUAACACCGGCGGCCCGAGUGGUGAUCGUGAUUAUUGGGUCUAAAGGGUCCGUAGCCGGUUUGGUCAGUCCUCCGGGAAAUCUGACGGCUUAACCGUUAGGCUUUCGGGGGAUACUGCCAGACUUGGAACCGGGAGAGGUAAGAGGUACUACAGGGGUAGGAGUGAAAUCUUGUAAUCCCUGUGGGACCACCUGUGGCGAAGGCGUCUUACCAGAACGGGUUCGACGGUGAGGGACGAAAGCUGGGGGCACGAACCGGAUUAGAUACCCGGGUAGUCCCAGCCGUAAACGAUGCUCGCUAGGUGUCAGGCAUGGCGCGACCGUGUCUGGUGCCGCAGGGAAGCCGUGAAGCGAGCCACCUGGGAAGUACGGCCGCAAGGCUGAAACUUAA
This 837-nucleotide ribosomal RNA is filed under the name uncultured archaeon. RNAcentral's name for it is "bacterial SSU rRNA". It matches the Rfam family "Archaeal small subunit ribosomal RNA", at positions 21 to 859 of the family's 1478-position model. The record is from RNAcentral.